Molecule: ribosomal RNA, 497 nt
Filed under: uncultured bacterium
Lineage: Bacteria
Description: partial 16S ribosomal RNA
Rfam family: Bacterial small subunit ribosomal RNA
Source: RNAcentral
GAUGAACGCUGGCGGCGUGCCUAAUACAUGCAAGUCGAGCGAACAGAUGAGGAGCUUGCUCCUCUGACGUUAGCGGCGGACGGGUGAGUAACACGUGGAUCACCUACCUAUAAUACUUGGAUAACUUCGGGAAACCGGAGCUAAUACCAGAUCAUAUAUUGAACCGCAUGGUUCAAUAGUGAAAGACGGUUUUGCUGUCACUUAUAGAUGGAUCCGCGCCGGAUUAGCUAGUUGGUAAGGUAACGGCUUACCAAGGCGACGAUGCGUAGCCGACCUGAGAGGGUGAUCGGCCACACUGGAACUGAGACACGGUCCAGACUCCUACGGGAGGCAGCAGUAGGGAAUCUUGCGCAAUGGGCGAAAGCCUGACGGAGCAACGCCGCGUGAGUGAUGAAGGUCUUCGGAUCGUAAAACUCUGUUAUUAGGGAAGAAAAAAUGUGUAAGUAAAUAUGCACGUCUUGACGGUACCUAAUCAGAAAGCAACGGCUAACUACGUG